This is a long non-coding RNA of Columba livia (rock pigeon), 928 nucleotides long. RefSeq lists it as uncharacterized. The transcript has 3 exons. NCBI's taxonomy places the organism in Eukaryota, Metazoa, Chordata, Aves, Columbiformes, Columbidae. The record is from RefSeq and is a predicted model, not a curated record.
UUUUCCCCUUCACCUAUGGAAAACAAAAGAAUAAUAGAAUCAUAGAAUGGUUUGGAUUGGAAAGGACCUUUAAAGAUCAUCCAGUCUCAACCCUCUGGGUGGGAACAUCUUUCAUUAGAUCAGGUUGCUCAAAGCCCCAUCCAACCUUUGAACACUUCCAAUGAUGGGGCAUCCACAACUUCUCUGGGCAACCUGUUCCAGUAUCUCACCAUCCUUAGAAUAAAGAAUUUCUUCCUUACACCUGAUCGAAAUCUACCCUCUUUUAGUUUAAAACCAUUAUCCUUUGUCCUAUCACUGCAGGUUGUGGUAAAAGCCUCAGGUCCUUCUCUUUCCUGUCCUGAGGGCUCCAGAGCUGGUCACACAAGAGCAGAGCAGAGGAGGAGAAUCACUUCCCUGGACCUGCUGGCCACGCUUCUUUGAUGCAACCCAGGAUGUGAUUGGCUUUCUGGGCUGCAAGCACACCUUGUCGGCUCAGAUUCAAUUUUUCAUCUGCUUCCUAGGAAUUAAAGCACUCUUUGGCACAUGGACUAGACCAGAAAAUACAGACAUAUUCCUCUCUUCUGGAGGGACUGGUGCAUCAGACAACUGGUAUGGAGACUGCUGAACUAACAAUAGUUAUAUCACAAAAAAGUGUCAUGGAAAAUCUAAGAUAUUGAGGCAGCUUGGAACAAUAAAGGACCAAGUGACCUGGAGACAGAAGUGAAGCCACCUAACUUCUGGAACUGCUACAAAUAAUGUACCUUCACUGUCUUCAGUUCUCCUCUUCUUCUUGGCCAGGACUACCUCCUUCCCACCAUGGCUAUAGUAACCACAGCUGAACUCUCUGACCCAAAUGAGCAUACCUAGAGCCAGGUAACCUUCAUUUAUUCUUCCCAGGGCUCUUGGUCCUUUUGCUGCUGGCUGUUCCCAGCCACCUUGGCCCUUUCUU